This 91-nucleotide non-coding RNA is filed under the name Heyndrickxia coagulans. RNAcentral's name for it is "Bacillus coagulans Glycine sequence". It matches the Rfam family "Glycine riboswitch aptamer". From Rfam's summary of the family: This family represents the bacterial glycine riboswitch. Glycine riboswitches usually consist of two metabolite-binding aptamers domains with similar structures in tandem. The record is from RNAcentral. Lineage: Bacteria; Bacillati; Bacillota; Bacilli; Caryophanales; Bacillaceae.
AUGAGAAUAAGAGGAGAGACUGCAUUUUUUGCAGCGCCGACGGAGCAAGCGGAAACGUGAAUCUCUCAGGCAAAAAGACUCUUAAUUUGAC